UUGCAGUGCAGUGAUAGAGGCUGGUGAUAUCGCUACCGAGCAGGAACUUCUUAUGAGACAGACAGAGCAAACCUUUUCAGAACCAUGGCAAGCCAAGAAGAAGCAAAGAGAAUGUAUGUGCCAGACAUGGCUUGCAAACUCCCAAUAUGAGCACCUGCUGUCGACAUUUGGAGAUCCACCCUAAAGACAAGUGCGAAGCCAUGAGGAAUAAACUGACAUAGGAACCCUGUUUUGUUAAUAUUUUUUAAAAUGAUAUAUCUGACUAACUACAUCUGCUUCUCACCAAGGUUUCCAAAAUGGUUUACAAACACAGGAGUCAUUUUUUAACAGGGUUAUAGUGAAACAAUUGGGACUGGAUCAUGAUCAUUCUCAAGCUUGAAAUGAUUGACGUAGAGAGCCUGAGAGAUAUGGAACUGUCUAAGGAGUGAUAUGUUUAAUUGAAUAUAUGUAUUUAGAAUGUUGUGUAAAGAUACAGGUGUGUAUACACAACACACACACACAUGCAGGUUUGGAACCUCACCUUUGAGAUUUCACUGCUUCCCGUUGGACUUUAUACCAUAGCAAAUGUGUGAAUGUGAAAAUUUCUCCUCCUUCUCUUAGUAUCUUAGCAAGAAUUUCUACUUCAGUGCUUUCUGGAAUGAUUCCUUCAGGUGUAAACUUACGAUUUUUAGAGUUUUUCAAAAUCAAACAUCUAAGAAAUGUAGCAUCUGAACAAUGGAAGUUUUUCAGUGGAAGUAUUGUUUGGACUUUUUUUUUCCAGGAUUUUUGUUUCUUACCAUGCAAAGUGUUCCUCAAAACAACUGAAAGGCAGCAGAUAAGGGGUGUGUAGAUCAUUCCAAAAUACUAAGAAACCAGAGCUUCAUGUCUAAGAGUUUCCAUAAACUUGGUGGUGUUUAUGAGCCUAGGGAGCUGUGCUGGCUGAGUUGUACACCUGUUGAAAUAAGAACAUUGGCUCCCCACAAGAGUCCCUUGAUUUAGAAAAUAACAGUUCAUGUUAUCAUCCACUGUAAAGUAAACGAUACUGUGACAUUUUACACUUGAUUUUGGAAGCCCAUGAGGAUAACAGCACUCAGCUGUUUACAAUGACUGUUUUCUCCUCAAAUGUAUCCAGAGGUUUGCUUUGAACCAUAGGAAGCUAUUAACAAUUUUGGAACAAUUUUGGCC
This 1164-nucleotide long non-coding RNA is filed under the name Mus spretus (western wild mouse). RNAcentral describes it as "lncRNA (ENSMSPG00010002924.1)". Lineage: Eukaryota; Metazoa; Chordata; Mammalia; Rodentia; Muridae. The record is from RNAcentral.